AUACUAGAGUAGCACUCGCAUAUCAAUAAGCGGAGGAAAAGAAACUAACAAGGAUUCCCUUAGUAACGGCGAGUGAAGCGGGAAGAGCUCAAAUUUGAAAUCUUCAAGGUUUUACCUUGACGAAUUGUAGUUUAAAGAAGUGUUUUCUGUUGAAGUUUUGGUAAAAGUUCUUUGGAAUAGGACAUCAUAGAGGGUGAGAAUCCCGUAUUUGACCAUUAUUUUCCAGCUGUGUGAUACACUUUCAAAGAGUCGGAUUGUUUGGGAAUGCAGUCUAAAAUGGGUGGUAAAUUUCAUCUAAAGCUAAAUAUUGGCGAGAGACCGAUAGCGAACAAGUACCGUGAGGGAAAGAUGAAAAGAACUUUGAAAAGAGAGUUAAACAGUACGUGAAAUUGUCAAAAGGGAAGCGUUUGACACCAGUGUUGUUUUCUCGAAAAUCAAUUAAAAAUGGCGGGAUUUUGUGUUGUAUUGACUUUAUCAGCUUUCUGCACUUUUUUCCUGUCUUUUUUAAUGCACUUUUCGUUUAACAAGUCAACAUCAAUUUCUUUUGUUGUAAAAGGGUCAUUGGAAGGUGGCUUUCUUUUCGGAGAAAGUGUUUAUAGCCUUUGGCCUCUGCAAUCGGAGAGAUUGAGGUCUGCAGCGUAGAUCCUUCGGGGUUAGAUACAUUUGUGCUAAGCUAUAGUUCUUUAUAGACAACUUGUUGACUAUAAUCAAUCCUGUAACUUACUCGCUUAUGCUAUUUUACCUACGCUUAGGAUGUUGAUAGUCACAGCGUGUAC
Molecule: ribosomal RNA, 776 nt
Filed under: uncultured Neocallimastigales
Lineage: Eukaryota; Fungi; Neocallimastigomycota; Neocallimastigomycetes; Neocallimastigales
Description: partial large subunit ribosomal RNA
Rfam family: Eukaryotic large subunit ribosomal RNA (bases 15-695)
Source: RNAcentral